CACGUAGGAGGCGAGCGUUAUUCGGAUUUACUGGGCGUAAAGCGCGUGUAGGCGGCUUAUUAAGUUGGAUGUGAAAGCUCCUGGCUUAACUGGGAGAGGACGUUCAAAACUAGUAAGCUUGAGUACGAGAGAGGAAAAUGGAAUUCCGGGUGUAGUGGUGAAAUGCGUAGAUAUCCGGAGGAACACCAGUGGCGAAGGCGAUUUUCUGGCUCGAGACUGACGCUCAGACG
This 230-nucleotide ribosomal RNA is filed under the name uncultured microorganism. RNAcentral's name for it is "partial 16S ribosomal RNA". It matches the Rfam family "Bacterial small subunit ribosomal RNA", at positions 524 to 753 of the family's 1533-position model. The record is from RNAcentral.